Pteropus alecto (black flying fox) is the source of this 73-nucleotide non-coding RNA. NCBI's taxonomy places the organism in Eukaryota, Metazoa, Chordata, Mammalia, Chiroptera, Pteropodidae. The record is from Rfam.
GGUUCCAUAGUGUAGCGGUUAACACAUCUGCCUUACAUGCAGAAGGUCCUGGGUUCACACCCCAGUAGAGCCA